CAAUGGAAAUCAAACGGAUGGAUAAUCUCUUCUGCAGCAGUUAAUAGAGAAUCGAAUACGAACUUGAAAUUACUGAACAGUUUUAGUCAAACAGCUAGUGGACGGACUACAUUCUGCCAAAAGCAUACAUUAUAAGCUGAAACUAAUUUGGUCUAGACAAGGAGAGUGAUAUCUCCUUGGUCUAGAUAAGAAGAAUUAAAUACGGCCCGUAUAAUACGGAGCUUCGCUUGAACCGACUGGAUGUGACCUAAACUAUUGUGAUAUUGAGGUUUAGAUUCAUGAUGUAGUUUUGAUAACGAAAAAGCAUCAAUUCAUUACCUAGGAGAUUUAUUCAAAUUUUGUAUAUCAUCUUUCAACAAUGUAAAAUGACAGAGAGUGCAGCAUAUCCAAAGACGGGGCAAUCCAACUCCAACGCAAAGACAAAGCUUCAGUUACUACUACGACAGAUUGAGAAGGCAUCUCGACUGGCUGAAUUUCGAGUUGAUCGAAUCAAGGAUCAACUUCGUCAUGAUCUGAUUGAUUUAAAAGCUAAUAAACUAGCCAUGAAAUCACAUGCAGUUAGCUUCAGGCAUCUCAACUGUAUGGAUGAAAGUCAACAAAGAGAUAUGCUCAAAGUGGUUUCGCAACGAGGUCGUUACUACUAUUCAUUAAAAAGUGAGGUUAAAGUUCACAUUGACAGAAUGAGCUCCUACAAUCCACGCCUUGAACGUGCCAAACGACUUCUUAUUCCUGCAAGACGAGAGUCACUAGAGGCUAUGGAGAGAGGAGUAUUAAAUCUACCCGAUCUAGACGGGAGCCUUGCUAUGAAACGAAACAUGACGAUGCUGGCUGAUUUGAGUUUGGUUGAAGGAGAGCAAAGGGAAUCGAAUACACCAGAAUGUCUUAUAUUUCCAAGAAUAUGAAAAAUAUAAUUAUACCGAGUUAUUCAGAAAGAAUAGGCCUCAAAAUUACCAAACCUUGUCAUGAGUACAGAAAGAUAUCUUGAAAAGAACAUGUUGUCCCAAAUAAUCUGAUACCAUUUUCUGCGGAUCGAAGGAUAGGCCUAUAUACUUACUGCACGUAAUAUAAAAGCCAAUUCAUCAUCAUCAUCAUCAUCAUUAUUAUUAUUAUCAUUAUUAUUAAUAUUAUUUGUGUUUCAUGAAUCCAGAUAUCAAUGCAUGAAUUGCAUUAAAAUGUAUAGCAAAAUAUAAUUUCAACUUAAUUGACCUAAAAAUUGUUUGAUAAAUAUACUUUUUGUCAAUUUUCACGUGCAAUAAAGUUUACUGCAAUUGAUGUAGGAAUAUGGAUCCAUGGACAUCUAGAUAAUUCGUUGCAGUCAUGCAUAUUAUACCAUGUACAAAUGAAGUAGGGGGAAACCUUCUGAAGUAGGUGGGGCGAGAGAAGUAGGGGAAAAACCUACUGAAGUAGGGGGAAACCCCGGUGUAGUGGUCCACCUGCAUUCCCCAUCAGUUAUAUAUGGAGGAGAGACCUGCAGGUCA
Molecule: RNA transcript, 1478 nt
Organism: Lytechinus variegatus (green sea urchin)
Lineage: Eukaryota; Metazoa; Echinodermata; Echinoidea; Temnopleuroida; Toxopneustidae
Exons: 5
Source: RefSeq, a predicted model, not a curated record